UUUCAUUUUUCUUUUGCUUCAGUUAUGAAGGGUCUCAGAUAAUUCAUUAGCCUAACUCCAUAUGACUGGAGGUGUCCUAAGUGGUGAUCUCAGCUAAAGGUUUGAAUAUUUAAAAACACUGUGUGGAGCAUACUCAGACCUGCACCCACAGUCAGUUCUAAGGAGCUGAUCAGACUGAGUCCAUCCCUCACUGACAGACACCAUGACAGUUGCCAGAGGAGUCCUUUGAACAUGGGCCUUUCCUCUUCAGAAAACGACAUUUUCAGUUGAGAGCUAAGUUGUGCAGCUGGACAGAGUUUGACAUGGACAAGGCAUUCCCAAACCUUAUCCUGGCUAUCUCCUGCAAAUUUCUAGAAUAUUACAAAUUGAGAACCAAAACUAUUUGCUCACAGCUGGUGUGAAGCUAAGGCAUCUUCAUUUGUUGCAAAUAGCCUGCCAAUGCUAAGAAAAGAAUUCAUUUCAUCAGUGGCUUAGAUUACUGAUUAAGUGGGCUCCAAUUUAAGCUGUUUCAAACAACCAUACUAAAAUUAACCAAAUAGCCAUGUUACUUUAAAAGUAGCCUGUAGCAGGCAAUCAAUAAAUAUGUGCUGAAUGGAAGAACAAGUUUGUCUUUACCAGUGUUUAUGAGGUGGGCAGGGAGAUGUUAGAAGACUGGAAAGGCUGUUGGACUUAAUGCCUGUGAUUGAGGGUAUACUGACACCAGUGAUGUGACACAGUGUCCAGUCAGCCCCUCAAUCCCAAAACCCAAGGGCGAUUCUGGAUUACUGCUGCCCACCUGCAUGUCCACAGCCUGUCAGCAAGUCCUGUGAGGCCCACCUCCAAAAUAUAAGCAGAUUUUCUUCUUUCUCCACCUCCACUACCUCAGACAGCUUCAGUUGAAAAGACUAGCCUCCCACACACUGUUUCCACUUACACCCACACAGCAACCUCAGGAACCAUCCUGGGACACUGCUCUACUGACAACCCUUCCGCGCACUCUGCUCAUCCGAGCCCACUAGGCCCUUUAUGACUUGACCUCCCCUUCCCUCACCUCUUUUUGUACCUUCUAUCCCUUGGCUCAAUACUCUUUGGAAACAUUGGCCUGCUUUUCGUUCCUCAAAUGUGCCUCAUGGCCUUUGCACUUGCUGUUUCCUCUGCCUUGAAGGUUCCCCAUGUGGCUCACCACUUCUUCUCUCUCAGGUCACAGCUCAGACGUAAUCUUCUUAGAGAUGCCCUUCCUGGCCUCCUUAGUCACUACUCAGUCACUUCUUAUGAAAUUACCAUGCUUCAUUCCCUUUAUAGCAUUUAUUGUAAUCUGACAUUCUAUGUUUAUUUGCUUACUGUCUCCUUCUAGCAGAGGCAGUGACUUCAUCUGUCUUAUUCACCACUAUUCCCAGCACUUACUCAUUGUUCAACCAAUAAUUGUUGAGUAAAUGAAGUGGAUGUUUCUUUUCCCCUGAUAUUUUCUUCUAUUUGGAUUGUGACAAAAAAAAUCACACAAGUAUAACAUGUGACAUUUGAGAGGAAGGUGAGAUCAUCUAUUACCAUUUCUUCACUUUGGGAUGGGCAAGUGGGGACUGAAGCUCCAAGGUGAUUUGCCCAACAUCACAUAGCUUAUUGGGGCAGAGUCCAGAAUAAAGCCACAUCUCAUGAUUCAAUCUGGCACCCUCUCUACAAAAACCAUGGACAGGGCCAGGGUCCAAAACAAUUGGAUUUUGUGGCCCAGUUAACAGUAGAAAGGAAUGUAUGUUGAAACGUGGAAGGAAAGAUGGGAAAGAAAAUAUUAUAAGACCUCUUAAAAUAACAGAUAUAUGUAAGAAGAUCUCACAAUAACAAAUAAAGGAAAAUAUGUAUAUGGGAAGAGUAGUCAUUAUUAUUAGCAGUGGGAAAAAGGAGUACAAUCUGCUGAGUUCUUUUUUUUAAGUUAAUUUUAAUUAAUUUAUUUCGAGAGAAAGAGAGAAAGCACAAACAGGGAGGGGCAGAGAGAAGGAGAGGCAGAAUCCCAAGCAGUCUCUAUGCCAUCAGUGUGGAGCCCUAUGUGGGGCUUGAACUCAUGAACUGUGAGAUCAUGACCCGAGCUGAGAUUAAGAGUUGGAUGCUUAACCGACUGAGCCACCCAGGUGUCCCAUAAUCUGCUGAAUUCUAUCCCAGGGGCUCCCAACAGUGAAUGUGCAUGUGGGAAGGGUGUACUUGUUACUCUGUAAGACAACAUUGAUGUGGAGGCACCAUGGCAGGCUAGAGGUCACACCUUGCCUCAGACAUUCACAUUCACUUAAACACUGUUCUGGACAAAUACAAACUUUUUACAGCGUCAGAUUCAGCCUAGAGGCAGUUAGUUUGAGUCCCCUGACAUAAAUCCUCAAAAUCUGGUUGGUUCUCAGGUAAUACCAAAUAUAUAAUGAACUUGACUUGUGGUUUAGUGUUGAACAGAUCUACUCUGAUGGGAGAAAUGAUAAAAAGAAGCCAUUGGAUUGCUUCUAAAUCUAAGUCAUCUUCUCUUUCUACCAAAGCCAUGCCCAGGGUUUCACAAAUAAGUGACCACUUAGGCAGAAAAUCACUCAGGAGAUGGUAAGGAGAAGAGGGGGUUGGUUUGUUGGUUAGUGCUAUGCACUCAGCACUCCAUACACACACCAUUUUUUUCUUUAUUUGGACUCCAGGCUGUAACAGGUUGUGUCUGAGCCUGGAAGAUGGUCAAGUACUCUGGAAAGAGGUCAUUCCUGGUCACUGGGGUGGGAAUCCCAGAAUGUGUCAUUGCGUUAGGAAGGAACCCAUGGUUGGGUUGAGCGAGGGCAAUGGAAAAAAGGGAAAAGGUCUAGGGAUUAACAUCAAAGAAGGAUAUAGUAAGAGGAAUUAGAAGAGUAGCAAGUAAUUAAAGGGAGAACUCUUUACAUGAUAAAAUCUCUGAAAGUAAGAAGACUCUUCAGGGCUUCAUCAAUCAGUUUAUUUAGUGAAAUUUAACUUAUACUCCCUAUGUAACAGCAGCUUGAAGGAAGUCUGGCUGUGGAACUGGUCUCAAAGACCCCCCAGCACCCAAGGCAUGUGUGGUGUAGGACACAACUGGGAGUCACAGAGCAAGGUGCCGUGUUGGCAAAGAUUUUGAAGUCUGACAAUGCAACUGGGAAAAAAGAGAACCUUCAUAUACUGCAGAAGAGAAUGGAAAUUGGUUUGACUGUUCCGGAGUGCAAUUUGUUAACACCUUAUAGAGCUAAAAAUGCACCAGUUCAUCAAACCAGACAUACCACUUCUAGGUAGAAACUGUCUCGAGAUCCUCAAAUUCUCUGAAUAAAAAACCAAUUGUUAACAUUCCAACCUGUUGAGGAUCAAUAUUUUUGUAAAAUACAGUAAAAACAUAAAACAAAUAAAACAUAAACAUAGACAAAAUAGGAGCACCUGGGUGGCUCAGUUUGUUAAGCGUCCGACUUUGGCUCAGGUCAUGAUCUCGCAGUUUGUGAGUUCGAGCCCCGCAUCGGGCUCUAUGCUGACAGCUCAGAGCCUGCAGCCUGCUUCAGAUUCUGUGUCUCCCUCUCUCUCCGCCCCUCCCCUGCUCACACUUUGUCUCUAUU
Molecule: long non-coding RNA, 3542 nt
Organism: Acinonyx jubatus (cheetah)
Lineage: Eukaryota; Metazoa; Chordata; Mammalia; Carnivora; Felidae
Exons: 3
Source: RefSeq, a predicted model, not a curated record